This 211-nucleotide long non-coding RNA is filed under the name Elaeis guineensis (African oil palm). RNAcentral's name for it is "long non-coding RNA (EGUI_LNC054229)". The record is from RNAcentral. Lineage: Eukaryota; Viridiplantae; Streptophyta; Magnoliopsida; Arecales; Arecaceae.
CAAGGAGCAACAAGAUCAUCGCUUCAAUUUUAUAAGCCAGAUUGAAUGGUGAUUUUUUCUUUGGUAUGCGAGAAGUCAUUCGAUAUGUUCAUAAAAUCAGAUAUAGCUCUUCCACCCAGAGAUCUUUAGCUUCAUUCAGUCUGAUUUUGAGUUCAUACAAGAUUGUUUGGUUUGUCACUUUCACUUCACCAUUGGAUUAUGGAUGGCCGAC